AGAUGUAAGGAUGGUCUGGCUGCAACAUCUGUCACCCCAGCGUUCACCAGGGUUGAUUCAGCUGAUCUGGUUGGCUAGGUGGGUGUGCCCGCCUGCCUCACACUGCAUGUGCAUCCCUCCUGAAGCUGCAUGCUUGGUUGAAGAAGACAACAUUCCACAGUAGAAGAGGGGCAUUGUCUGGUGAAGUGUACAUAAGUACCUGUAUUCCCCUGUUAGAACCUCCAAAUAAGCUAAGGUCCAUUUAUAGGAGAACAUAGGGCAGUCAAGCUUCUAAGACUCCAGACACAUCCAAAUGAAGUGCUGCAUGUGGCAGUCUGCUUUUCUUU
Molecule: small nuclear RNA, 326 nt
Filed under: Callithrix jacchus (white-tufted-ear marmoset)
Lineage: Eukaryota; Metazoa; Chordata; Mammalia; Primates; Cebidae
Description: 7SK RNA
Rfam family: 7SK RNA
About the family: 7SK was discovered as an abundant small nuclear RNA in the mid-70s but a possible function has only recently been suggested. Two independent studies have found that 7SK RNA binds the CDK9/cyclin T complex (known as elongation factor P-TEFb). P-TEFb activates transcription by phosphorylating the C-terminal domain of RNA polymerase II.
Source: Rfam by way of RNAcentral